GUGGGGAGAUGAAUCAGAUCGGACAGAGUUCCUGUGAUGGAAGGUCAGGUUAAUUUUGGUGCAGUGAGAGUGAGUUUUCACUGAUGCUUUACUUCUCCAUGCACAGGUAAGGAAUUGCCAGAAACCAGCAGCUACUGAGCUGAGAUGGCGUCAAUCAUGGAGGGAGGAGAGGCUGGUGGUGCUUCCCAGCUUGGAGAAGGCUGCGUCAGGCAAGAGAAUCACCUGUUUCCUUUUCCUCCUCCAACAAUAGAAUUCCAUAACAUGGCAUCCAUAAACCGACAUCGUCUCUGUGACCGACUUCUAUCCUAUGCAUUUGAAUCCUUCCAACUUAUCACCUCUCACCUUAUCUUCUUCUCCCCUCUCUCUCUCUCUCUCUCUCUCUCUCUCUCUUUCCUCUCCUCUCCUCUCCUCUCCUAAGAACAAGAAACAUAUAAGAUAGCCGCUCUCCUCGGUACUCGGAGUGGUCCAGAGGGUGAAACAAGCUCCUCCUUUGGCCAUAUUGUGACGGCUUUCAAGUACUCCAAUAGCAUCAGUACUGUUGCUGAGAAAAAGCUGGCCUCUGAUUCAUGAAGGCCGUAUUCCUUCCAAGUCAUACCUUCUGAAACUUGUAGCAAGAAUUCCAUUGACCCAUUCUUAGCUCAUCUUUUCCUGCAAUACCAUAACAUGAAUUCUACUUCACACAGUAAAACAAAUAUUGUAAUCCAUGCUUUGAUCAGUUCAAAAUACCACCAUGAACAGAUUAUACUUGGGUAAUAAUAGGCCACACAACAUAAAAUUUAUUGGGAUGAUAAUAGACUCGUCUAAUCCUGUAAACCGUUGUCGUAGGAUCAUUCAAGCGACAUGUCUGCCGAAUACAAAAAUGACCUAGAUCUCUGUUUCACCAACAUAAUUUAGCUAGCAAAUAUACGACAAAAAGGAAACAGUGAACAUUGUUAUGUACAUCACUUGAGCUGCCCUAUACAAGAGAUCACAGUCGUCUAUUAAUUCUUUACAGGUCUCUGCCUCUUGGGUCGAAAUCUUACAAUCUCGAUCGUCUUGUGUGUUUCAUCGGACUGAAUCCUGCAUGCCGAUGACCAGAAGGGAGUGUUUGCCUCCCGGUUAAGGAUGAGUUGGGCUUUAUGUCCCAGCCUUCUACAUUCUUAGGAACGUAUCCAUAAAAAAGAAUCUGAGCUAGGACGCUAUGAGCAUUGAUGCUCGGUGCGUUCGGCAAGUGAAAUAUCUCACACUUUUGCUCAUCCUGAGUGGAGCAUCCAUCUCUGGUGUCAUGGUACUCCAUGGAGCUUGGCAGUAUGAAAUGAUCACAUGGAUCAUUUGUUACUCCCCUUUGGCCCUCUUGUUGUACAUGGAAUUGUCGCCUUCUUUCUGAGUAGAUUGUAGCUGCUUUGCUCAAUAACUCAGACACAGCAGUCUUGUAGUCAGCGGCAUGAUGCUUGUGAUGGCCUGCAGGAGGAAACAAGUCUAGCAUUCAUGUAUUAAUACACUAGAGAACGCUAUCAGAUAAUUCAAAACGACAAACACUUUGAAGCAUUUCUUUAACAGUCAUGGCACCACCUCAAAAUCAAACAAUUUAACAUGCAGUAUAUAACAAAAGACGAGAAAAUCCUAAAAGCAAUCAGCUUAAAACUGCUCUAGAGUUUACAUCCAUUUAUCCUAGGUAUCUUGCUACUUUAUGCUGCAUUCCAUGAGAUAAGUCUGGUUAUUGUUCGCUUGAAUGAUACAUUCCUGGUAUAAGGUGGUGUUUAAGUUCUUGAUAUCUAGCAUAAGCUUUCAGUAGUCCUCAUCAUACCAAUCGUAGUCUAUUUGCCCGUACCAUGACCACAGGAAAAAGAAAAAACCAUAAUUAAUAGAGCAACAAGAUAGACCGAUCCAACUGUUCUGGGAUCUGCCACAUUCUUAUUCUCACAUAGCAUAAAAUGAAACAUAAUAUUUGAAUUUAAAAUUCUACGUAAAUUUGAAAGGAGCAUAGUAUAAGUUAGUUACUAUACAUGAAAUUUUUAAAUUUCAUACCUACAUGAGGGGAGCUAUUCCAUUUUAUUAGCUUGACAUCACCUCCUAGCUCCUCUAGAUGAUGAGCAAAAUUACAGACAACUGGAUAUGGAGCGAGUUCAUCAUCUUCUGAACAAAAUAUGAGGAAAGGACCCACAUUCUGCAUAUUAUGGCAUCUAAAAUUAGUAACUUAGAGCAGCACAAACAGAUUAUACAGAGAGAAGCAUACUUGAGAUUUGUAUUAAGAGCCAUACAGCAGAAGAAUACAGAGUCUGCAAAUAGUCAGCAUGCUGUCCUUCAAAUCUGUCUAUGAAGAAAGUGCUGAGACCAGAUGCUAAGGCCUUUGCCAUCCAUGAAACAACUCUAGGUGGGUGGGACCUCUUGAGAACAGUCGGAUGAAGGAUAAAUCGAGUGCCCAAAUCACCGGUAAAGUCUACUGGACUAGAAUCAUAUAUUUGCCCACAUAAACAGUCUUUUACAAGCUGAUAAUUAUCCUUCAAAACCCAAAAUACGAGAAUCAGAAAGGAUGCACAUAUCUAGGACAGGAUAGUCAUCAGAGCUGAUUUUUUAGUUGCGUAACUCAUGCUUCACAACAAGAAAAUUCAUAUUACUUUAGAAAUUGUUUGCUCUUAAACAUUAGAGAUUGGUGAGUUUUAAGUGUUCCAUGAACUAUUGCAGAUUUGUCUUAACAACAAAGUCUGGAACACAUAAAUCAUGACUUACCACACCAAGUCGCCCUUCACAUUUUCCGUCAAUCAACUGGAAAGAAGAAAAAACAUAAAUGUCCUUUACUGAUACAACUGAAGAAGUUAAAUGUCAAAUAUAUCAGAAAGCUGACCUGAAGGACCUUGUACAUGCAACCUCUUGGUGCCCCGGAAAAAGCCGAAAAGACAAUAGGUAAUGGUGAAACAUUUAGUUCCUGUAUCCCAAAAACAGUAGAAUAUAAUGGAACAUGUUUCUUUCUACAGUGCGCUUCCGGAAAGCAAUAAAGCCUCAGAGUCAAGUAGAGAACAGUGAGACCUAUAAUUAGAGACUUAUGUAACAUCUAUAUCAAGAGUGUCUUCAAAUAUCAUCACAAAGUCACUACAAAUGAACUUAUCCAUGCAUCAUUAGUGAACAAAAGAUGAUGGUUCUGGAGGUCUAUCUAUUCCAUCAUUGUCAACCAUUUGUAAUUUCAGAGAAGUAAACAUGGAACAAACAGAGACAUCAAAUCCGACACACGUGAAUCUAAGUCCUCCAAAUUCCAAACCAACCAUGCCAACUGCUGUUCCUGAACCCCCAUGAUUAUUUCAGCCUAAUUAUUGAAAGGAACCCUAGAAGACAGUUGAACAGCAAAAAUUAAUUGGGGGCAGGUAGGCUUAAACAUCAAAGUCAAUACAAUUCAAUGAUAUUGUACCACCAAUUUUAGAUCGUGCAGAAUUUCUAGUCAUGUGACCUAUAUGGAUUACAGUAUGCACAAUUACAUAUGCCUUUGUUCCUUAAAAGAAGUCAAAGUAAUAGGUCUAUCUUAAGUGUAUCUUCAGCAUAUUUACCUGAACAAGCUCUUUAAGAACACCAUCAGCCAGUGAUGUAGCCUUCUCUGGAAAAUAUCUGCAUAUAUUUUAACCUAUGAGCGAGCUUAAAAGCAAUUCAUAUUAUAGACAUAUAUAACAGCACCAUUGUUUAGAAAAUUAGCAAGAAAACUAGCAAUUCAAGAAAUCUAACAGAGUUAGAAAUCUGCAUGAAUUCGUUCUACAGAAUUUAGAGUAAUCUUCAAUGACUAAGCUCCUCCAUGCAACAAUCCAUCAAACCAAGAUGGGAAUUUUUGAGCUUCGAGUCUUGCAAGGGGGGAAUGACAAAGGAAUU
This 3831-nucleotide long non-coding RNA is filed under the name Musa acuminata (dwarf banana). Its description in RNAcentral is "long non-coding RNA (MACU_LNC006223)". The record is from RNAcentral. Lineage: Eukaryota; Viridiplantae; Streptophyta; Magnoliopsida; Zingiberales; Musaceae.